Neolamprologus brichardi is the source of this 222-nucleotide non-coding RNA. The record is from RefSeq and is a predicted model, not a curated record. Lineage: Eukaryota; Metazoa; Chordata; Actinopteri; Cichliformes; Cichlidae.
UUUUACCUGGAUGAAAAGGUGCUACCAAAUGAUAGACAGAAGAUUGAAGAAAAACCUAAAGAUGUUCAUCAUUGUUCAUCCAUCCUGGUUCAUACGGACUUUGCUAGGAAUGAUCAGACCCUUCAUAAGUUCCAAGUUCAGCAGUAAGAUCAAGUAUGUGCAUAGUCUGCAGGAGCUCGGAGAAAUCAUUCCUAUGGAGUAUGUGCAUAUACCUCACAGCAU